AAAUCUCGGAUUUUCAUCCGGUCGCAUCGGAAAAACGACGGAUCGGAAAAUCAAAUGGACUGCUGAAAUGGAUAGAGGAGACAAAAGUCUACGGGAAACGGUCAGAUACGAAACGAAAAACUUUCCGCGGGAUUUAAUUAAGUUUUCCGAUCAAUCGCGUCGCAGAGAAUUAUUUUAAUAUAAUAGAAGAAGAAGAUAGAAGAUGGAUAGAUAGAUUAUCUAUAAUAGUACGUACUUUUUUUUUGUGUAAACGUUUUCGAAUGCGUCUCAUUAAUUCUUCGCUUUAAUCGUAAUUUUAAUACAUGUUAUGUGAUAUUCGAUUCGUUUUACUGAAAAAUAUGAAGAGACAUAACUAAUCGGAUGUUUUCAUUGCAUAUAUUGAUUUGUUGUGAAACAGUGGAAUGUUAUUAUUAAACGCUUACACACAGCUAUGAAACGAAGAAAACAUGGUACAUAAUACGUUUAAAUUAUAAUUGGUUUUUUAUAAGCGUUAAGUACGUUCAAUACGAUUUCUUUGCCAAAAGAUGUUGGGAGAUAGCUGUAUGAUUUCAUUAUAAAUGGAAUGGAAUUGAAUAAAACGUUUCGUCUGUGCUAAUGAUACUGAUCAUAACGUACAAAGCUAUAAAAUAAAUAAAAUUCGUUAACGAGUCUUAUAGAAUAUCAGCCGUUACACUUGGACGAAAGGAAAUGCAAACUUUUACGGUGUCUUUAAAUAAUGGAUAUAGCUAUUGUAUUUUUUCAUUUUACUUUUUUCUUUGAAAUGGAAAUGAAUUCAAUGUGUUAUUGGUGCUAAUGAUACUAUUCAAAACAAACACAACUAUAAAAUAAAGAAAACAUGAAAAAAAUUAAGUCAGAGCUUUUGUUUUACCGAGAAAUAUGAGGAGAUAUAGUUAAUCGGAUGUUUUCAUUACAUAUACCUGCAAUAUAUAUCGAUUUAAUGUGAAUGGCUGUAAUGAUAUUAUAAAAUGCACACACUGCUAUAAAAUGAAGAAAACAUGGAGAUAGAUGUUGGAUGUUUUCCAUUAUACUUUAUUCUUUGGAAUGAAACUGAAGUCAAUGUGUUAUUGGUGCUAAUGAUACUAUUCAAAACAAACACAACUAUAAAGUAAUGAAAACAUGUAAAAGUCAGUCCUUACACUUAAAUGAAAGGAAAUAAAAAACUUUUAUGAUAUUAUGAAGAUGAAAAAAACCAUUAAGUUAUCCCUUCUUUGUACUAUAAGCUUUAAGUGUUUUUAAAAUUUGUUAAUUACAUAUUCACUUUUAUUUGUUCUACCAAAAAUUAUGAGGACAGAGCUAUUGUAUGUUAUCAUUGAGAAGGAAAGUGAUUGACAUAUAUGAUAUUAUUAUGAAUACAAACAGAUACAAAAAU
This is a long non-coding RNA of Sipha flava (yellow sugarcane aphid), 1369 nucleotides long. RefSeq lists it as uncharacterized. The transcript has 7 exons. The record is from RefSeq and is a predicted model, not a curated record. NCBI's taxonomy places the organism in Eukaryota, Metazoa, Arthropoda, Insecta, Hemiptera, Aphididae.